GCCGGGCACAGUGGUGCAUGCCUGUAAUCUCAGCAGCUCGGGAGACUGAGGCAGGAGGAUCACAAGUUCAAAGCCAACCUCAGCAAUUUAGCAAGGCCCUAAGCAACUUAGUAAGACCCUGUCUCUA
This 127-nucleotide small RNA is filed under the name Marmota monax (woodchuck). Lineage: Eukaryota; Metazoa; Chordata; Mammalia; Rodentia; Sciuridae. The record is from RNAcentral.